GACGAACGCUGGCGGCGUGCUUAACACAUGCAAGUCGAGCGGUAAGGCCCUUUCGGGGGUACGACGAGCGGCGAACGGGUGAGUAACACGUGGGUGACCUGCCCUCAGCUCUGGGAUAAGCCUGGGAAGCCGGGUCUAAUACUGGAUAUGACUCCAUGACGCAUGUUGUGGGGUGGAAAGCCUUGUGCGGCUGAGGAUGGGCCCGCGGCCUAUCAGCUUGUUGGUGGGGGAUGGCCUACCAAGGCGACGACGGGUAGCCGGCCUGAGAGGGCGACCGGCCACACUGGGACUGAGACACGGCCCAGACUCCUACGGGAGGCAGCAGUGGGGAAUCUUGCGCAAUGGGCGAAAGCCUGACGCAGCGACGCCGCGUGA
This 375-nucleotide ribosomal RNA is filed under the name uncultured bacterium. RNAcentral describes it as "bacterial SSU rRNA". It matches the Rfam family "Bacterial small subunit ribosomal RNA", at positions 28 to 404 of the family's 1533-position model. The record is from RNAcentral.